This is a non-coding RNA of Arabis alpina (gray rockcress), 119 nucleotides long. Lineage: Eukaryota; Viridiplantae; Streptophyta; Magnoliopsida; Brassicales; Brassicaceae. The record is from Rfam.
GGUUUCGAUCAUACCAGCACAAAUGCACCGGAUCCCAUCAGAACUCUGCAGUUAAGUGUGCUUGGGUGAGAGUAGUACUAGGAUGGGUGAACUCUUGGGAAGUCCUCGUGUUUCAUCGC